Molecule: ribosomal RNA, 468 nt
Filed under: uncultured bacterium
Lineage: Bacteria
Description: partial 16S ribosomal RNA
Rfam family: Bacterial small subunit ribosomal RNA
Source: RNAcentral
GACGAACGCUGGCGGCGUGCUUAACACAUGCAAGUCGAACGGAAAGGCCCAGCUUUUGUGGGGUGCUCGAGUGGCGAACGGGUGAGUAACGCGUGAGUAACCUGCCCUUGACUUUGGGAUAACUUCAGGAAACUGGGGCUAAUACCGGAUAGGAGCUCCUGCUGCAUGGUGGGGGUUGGAAAGUUUCGGCGGUUGGGGAUGGACUCGCGGCUUAUCAGCUUGUUGGUGGGGUAGUGGCUUACCAAGGCUUUGACGGGUCGCCGGCCUGAGAGGGUGACCGGCCACAUUGGGACUGAGAUACGGCCCAGAGUCCUACGGGAGGCAGCAGUGGGGAAUAUUGCACAAUGGGCGGAAGCCUGAUGCAGCGACGCCGCGUGCGGGAUGACGGCCUUCGGGUUGUAAACCGCUUUCGCCUGUGACGAAGCGUGAGUGACGGUAAUGGGUAAAGAAGCACCGGCUAACUACGUG